Eriocheir sinensis (Chinese mitten crab) is the source of this 1377-nucleotide long non-coding RNA. RefSeq lists it as uncharacterized. The record is from RefSeq and is a predicted model, not a curated record. The transcript has 6 exons. Lineage: Eukaryota; Metazoa; Arthropoda; Malacostraca; Decapoda; Varunidae.
UUUCAUUUCCACGGAAGAGAAAACGAGCGAAGAGGAAAGGAAGAUAAAGAAGAAGGGAAGGAAAAGGUGAAAGGAGUGGAAGAGGAUGCUGGCUUACCUCCGGACAGGUGUUGUGGGGCUCUUGGGGACAGUGGCUUUUAUGGCGGGCGUCUCCUGCAGUCUCCCCUCCUCCCCGCCCCUUACCCUCCAGCUCCCUUCUGGCGCCCUUCCUUCCCCUCCUGCCGCCCCUGCUGACGAGGCCAAAAGUUCAGCAGACACGUCAGAGCCGCCCCCGUCCCUUCCCCACGCAGGAGUCCCCCAAGGAAGCGGAAAAUCGAAGGAAUCCAGAAGAUCUCUCCUUCCAUCCUAUCGUCAGAUGUACAGCGACCUCUCCGAUCUCCUCGUCCCUUCCUUCGACGGUCAUAUAACACAAGUGACCCAAGAGAUGGAUGGGAAUGAGGUUGUCCUGAGAUGGGAAGAAUCAUCAGCAGACAUCGCGGUGGCGGAGGCGGUGGCGGCGGUGCAGCGGAAAGCUCUCUCGCCGGUGAUGCUGCAGGAGGCGAGGGACUGCGGCUCAGUUGCCCUCAAAGCGCCCCUGGUAAGCCUGGCCUUCCCGCGCCUGCUCAAAGACGGUCGGCGCCCCAGGAGCCUGGCAAUCUUCCUGUGCCCGAUAUCCAACACAACGUCACGGGCUUUGGAGGAGGACAGAAAAACAAAAGGAGGCUCAGAACGAAACAUCACUAGCAGGAGUGGCAGAAGCAUCAGACUGCUCUCCCUUCUCCGGGACGGCGAGAGGCCAGGCUGGUAGGUAUUUACUACCCUGCCUUUACUCAACACUUCCGGGUCUCUCAAAGCGCGGGAUGCGACCAGACACGAAAACAAGGCACACGGUUUUAAUGGAAAGGUAAGUAAAUACACGACGACGGAAGACAUGCAGCUCCGGCGCGGCCGAGGGUCUUCCGAAGGGUCGUGUGAGUAGCGCUUCCCUGGAACCGUGUCCAAGGAAGGAGAGUUUGAAGGGCACUCGUGGAUUCCAUUUUCCAACAAAUGAAAACAAACCUGUUUACUCAUCUCCGCUGUGAAACAGAGCAUUUGAGUUAGAAAACAAUAGUUUGAAGGUAAAUGUUGAAACCACGUAUGUUUUUUCUUGCCAGCAGCGGGAACGAGGAUGACGCAGAGGAAGGCGGACACACCUGCCGGGGAUCGAGCAGCUACCUGGCGGAGGUGUCGUCGGGUCUGUCCCCACUCCCCCCAAGAGACCUCCAGGGCAGGAAGCUCAAGGUCUCGGCGCUGGAAAACUGGCCCUUCUUCGGCUUGCGUUCCAACGGCGAGGGGGGGCGCGUGGAGGCUGAGGCGGGCAUCGAUGUUAACAUCCUCAACACUCUCUCUCAGGUGUUG